GACGAACGUUGGCGGCGUGCUUAAUACAUGCAAGUCUACUGAAGCAGUGGUAGCAAUAUCGCUGUGGCGGUGGCGCACGGGUGAGUAACCCCUAGGUAAUCUGCCUUCAGUUCUGGCUUAACUCCGGGAAACCGGGGCUAAUAGCAGAUGAUGCACCGGCUCGACAUCGAGACAGUUGUUAAAGCUCUGUCGCCUGUAGAUGAGCCUGCGGCUGUUUAGUUAGUUGUCGGGUUAACGGCCCACCAAGGCAACGAUCAGUACCUGGUCUGAGAGGAUGAUCAGCCACACUGGAGCGGAGACACGGUCCAGGCUCCUACAGGAGGCAGCAAUAAGGAAUAUUGCUCAAAGGGAGAAAUCCUGAAGCAGCAACGCAGCGUGAGGGACGAAGGGCUUUUGCAUGUAAACCUCUGUAGUGAGAGAAAAAAAUCCCAAUCUGUGGGACAUGAUGGUAACUCAAAAGUAAGCCCCGGCUAACUACGUG
RNAcentral lists this ribosomal RNA (481 nucleotides) under uncultured bacterium. RNAcentral describes it as "partial 16S ribosomal RNA". It matches the Rfam family "Bacterial small subunit ribosomal RNA", at positions 28 to 507 of the family's 1533-position model. The record is from RNAcentral.